This 1563-nucleotide long non-coding RNA is filed under the name Capsicum annuum. RNAcentral's name for it is "long non-coding RNA (CANN_LNC005796)". Lineage: Eukaryota; Viridiplantae; Streptophyta; Magnoliopsida; Solanales; Solanaceae. The record is from RNAcentral.
AUUAUGAAGUUGUGCUCUAUGCAAAACCAUUUGCUUAUGCUCCAAAAACUCCAUAUGAAGAAUGCAUGAAGCCUAAGCCAACUCCAGCUCCUUACUACUACCAUUCUCCUCCACCACCAUCGCCGACAUACGUAUACAAGUCACCACCUCCUCCAUCACCCAAAUACGUGUACAAAUCACCACCUCCUCCAUCACCUAAAUACGUGUACAAGUCGCCACCCCCUCCAUCACCUGAAUAUGUGUACAAGUCCCCACCCCCUCCAACCCCAACUUACGUGUACAAGUCACCACCACCUCCAUCACCUGAAUACGUAUACAAGUCCCCACCACCUCCAUCACCGAAGUACGUGUAUAAAUCCCCCCCACCGCCACCAUACUACUACAAGUCCCCCCCACCUCCAUCACCUGAGUACGUAUACAAGUCUCCCCCACCUCCAUCCCCAAAGUACGUGUACAAGUCCCCGCCCCCUCCAUCACCUGAAUACGGGGACAAGUCCCCACCACCUCCCUCACCCGAAUACGUGUACAAGCCCCCACCCCCUCCAUCACCUGAAUACGGGGACAAGUCCCCACCACCUCCCUCACCCGAAUACGUGUACAAGCCCCCACCCCCUCCAUCACCUGAAUACGGGGACAAGUCCCCACCACCUCCCUCACCCGAAUACGUGUACAAGCCCCCACCCCCUCCAUCACCUGAAUACGGGGACAAGUCCCCACCACCUCCCUCACCCGAAUACGUGUACAAGCCCCCACCCCCUCCAUCACCUGAAUACGGGGACAAGUCCCCACCACCUCCCUCACCCGAAUACGUGUACAAGCCCCCACCCCCUCCAUCACCUGAAUACGGGGACAAGUCCCCACCACCUCCCUCACCCGAAUACGUGUACAAGCCCCCACCCCCUCCAUCACCUGAAUACGGGGACAAGUCCCCACCACCUCCCUCACCCGAAUACGUGUACAAGCCCCCACCCCCUCCAUCACCUGAAUACGGGGACAAGUCCCCACCACCUCCCUCACCCGAAUACGUGUACAAGCCCCCACCCCCUCCAUCACCUGAAUACGGGGACAAGUCCCCACCACCUCCCUCACCCGAAUACGUGUACAAGCCCCCACCCCCUCCAUCACCUGAAUACGGGGACAAGUCCCCACCACCUCCCUCACCCGAAUACGUGUACAAGCCCCCACCCCCUCCAUCACCUGAAUACGGGGACAAGUCCCCACCACCUCCCUCACCCGAAUACGUGUACAAGCCCCCACCCCCUCCAUCACCUGAAUACGGGGACAAGUCCCCACCACCUCCCUCACCCGAAUACGUGUACAAGCCCCCACCCCCUCCAUCACCUGAAUACGGGGACAAGUCCCCACCACCUCCCUCACCCGAAUACGUGUACAAGCCCCCACCCCCUCCAUCACCUGAAUACGUAUACAAGUCUCCACCACCUCCAUCACCGAAGUACGUGUAUAAAUCCCCACCACCGCCACCAUACUACUACAAUUCUCCUCCACCACCGUCGCCAUCUCCUCCUCCACCAUACUACUACAAGUCUCCACCACCACCGGAAC